GACGAACCGUGCAAACGUUAUUCGGAAUCACUGGGCUUAAAGGGCGCGUAGGCGGGCUCGCCAGUCAGGGGUGAAAGCCCACGGCUCAACCGUGGAAGUGCCUUUGAUACUGCGAGUCUCGAGGGAGGUAGGGGCGUGCGGAACUUCCGGUGGAGCGGUGAAAUGCGCAGAUAUCGGGAGGAACACCAAUGGCGAAGGCAGCUCGCUGGGACGGUACUGACGCUGAGGCGCGAAAGCGUGGGGAGCAAACAGG
Molecule: ribosomal RNA, 253 nt
Filed under: uncultured bacterium
Lineage: Bacteria
Description: partial 16S ribosomal RNA
Rfam family: Bacterial small subunit ribosomal RNA
Source: RNAcentral